Molecule: long non-coding RNA, 2342 nt
Filed under: Marmota monax (woodchuck)
Lineage: Eukaryota; Metazoa; Chordata; Mammalia; Rodentia; Sciuridae
Source: RNAcentral
UGUUAAUAGUGCUGGUAAGAUGAUAUUUCACUUCUAUUCAAUAUAAACUAGUAGUAGGCUAUGUCUCUCACAGAUGUCUCCCUAUUCUCUCGACGUCUCAUCUGACAGUGUGCUCCUGGAAGUCCCCUCAUGUAAUGACUGGCCUCCUCACCUUCCUCCCGUGCCCCUACUGUGACCUGCAUAAACCCACCAGUGGUUCUCCAUGGGCUGCGGGAUGAGCUGGGCUUUGCUCCACCCAGCAGUCAGCUGAAGAAUGGUCCAACACGUCCUGCCUUCUGUUCUGCUGCUUUUCCCUCAUUCCCUCGUGAGUGAUCCCAAUCAGGUCCCAUCUUUCUGCUUCGGACUCUCAUCUCCUAAAUCUCAUUAGAUCGUUGCGUAUCCAUGAUAACUAAAGCCACAAUGACGAGAGAUGGACAGCUUCAUAAGAUGCAUUUUUAUUUACUUUCCUAUUCCAAAGGACAUAUCUCCUCCUGUAUUAUUAUCCAUUAAAAUCAAAGUGUGUGAAUUUUUCCAAUCAUGUGUUCAAUGUCUUUGAUUUCACACAAAAUUGUAAUCAAUUUUAAAAGUUCUGAUUUAGCAAAUACUCUUGAGACUGGAAGUAUAGAGAAAAGGGCUUAUAACCCCAAUAUAAAUUAGAGCUCCAUGUGGUCUAGUCUGUGUAGAGUGUUACAUUUGAAAAUACACAAAGGUCAGAUUGUAGCCCAUCUUUCAAGAAUUUGCAAGGGAGAGAGGAGUACGUUUUUAAUAUGCUGUGAACCCCUUAACUAUCCACUCUUCACUGCUGCAGCUCUCGGGACCCUCCACACCAAUGGCAAUUAUUUUCCUUUCUCCCCUGCCAUCCUAAAGCUCUCCAUCUCCCACUCUCCUUUCUCUCUCUGAAGUCUGCAGAUAAUUUCUUCCUAUGCUGUAGGCCUUUUUUGUCCCUUUACUUCUGUGCCUGUCGUCCCCACUGCUUGGCCUGGCUUCCUGGAUUUCUGUUCUGCCUACUCAGAUGGCUGGACCCACCCUUGCAAGGAAAAGGAAGGAGUCCCCAAGAAAAAAUUCAAUUUUCUCGCUUGGCCUUUCUCAUGGGAACUCUUUAGAGGACUUUCUAUAAAUUCUCUGUUUCUCCAGAUACAUUUAUAAAUAAGCCUUUUGGGUUUUAUUGUUAUAGAUUAAAGUAUAAAUUAGAAAAUUAUAUACAUGUUAUUUAUGCACAUGUUCAUUUAUUUAAAGGGCCUUAUCUGAAUAAUUAUUUUGUUUGAUCUCACAUUUCAAGUUUCUUGAGAAUAUGCUUUUCCCCCUGUAAAUUCACAUUGCACACAGUAUUAGGUUUCUCAUGAUAUAAUGGAUGUUUCAGAAACAUGGUCGAUCAAUUUACCAAUAGGGAACUCAGCUCUGCAGUUUUAUGAAAGAGUAUUUUCUAUUUUCUUUGAAUCCUUACAAAAGAACACAAAGUAACUAAGUCAGAUUUUAUACAAGAAAUUCUAUUGACAUAAAUUUCUAUAGACAAUGGAUUUUCCCACAUUACUGUAUAAAACUUUGUUGUUUCAUUCUGGUUGCUUCCUUAGAUGGUCAUCUGAAAAUGAUUAUGUGUUUAAUGAAUCUAAGUGUUUAUUCUCAAGAGUCACAGAAAAAAAAUAUCUGUCAGAAAUGCUGCAGUAAAUGCAUUUUUCAUAAUGUAAAUAAGAUAAAAAUGUAGCCUUCACUUUUUAGUACUCUGUGCUGAACUUCAAACUGAAACAUAUUUCAGAACUGGAUCAUGUUCAGAAAGGGUCAUAUUCUUCUAUUGAAGUUUUGUGAAUUUCUGUUAUGUUUCCAGAUUUAAGCUGCUUAUUAUUAAUACUAAAACAAAAUGGUUCUUCAGGAACUUGGGAAAUAAACAGCCUCGUUUAGAGAGCACUUUGGCCUGGAUGUGGUCCAUGAACUUAUGGCUGUGAAGCCUUUUCUUGUGCUUGAGAUCUUGAAGAUUCUUUCAAGAGAGACUGUUUGGAUUGUAUAUCCCAUGAUGUGUUUGCCUCUUGCAAAGUUCGAUUUGAAGUAGCGGGGACGAGACUGUGAACAAAGCCCCAGGAAUCAGAACUGGAAAGAAUCUCCACAGGUCCCCUUUCUUAGCCACUGCAUCCAAGGAGGAGAAUCUGCCACUCUUUUGAGGAAGGCGGCCGAUGAUCCUAUUUUUGUGAGACAUCCAAGAGCGGGAGUCCUGAUUGUGCCAAAGUGACUGUUGUAGAAGAAAGAAUCCAACAUUCUUGUUUGCCUGUCAUGUUUUAAAGCUUAUGAAAUGUGAGCAGUGAUGAGAGAGAUAUCCAUUCUCUUUUUGGGGGCACUUACUAGUGUGUGGGAAUUGCUUAUGACAUUUAAAU